CCUACGGGAGGCAGCAGUGGGGAAUCUUGCACAAUGGGGGAAACCCUGAUGCAGCGACGCCGCGUGAGUGAAGAAGUAUUUCGGUACGUAAAGCUCUAUCAGCAGGGAAGAAAAAAAGUCCUUUGGACUUUGGACGGUACCUGACCAAGAAGCCCCGGCUACCUACGUGCCAGCAGCCGCGGUAAUACGUAGGGGGCAAGCGUUCUCCGGCUUUACUGGGUGUAAAGGGAGCGUAGACGGCAGCGCAAGUCUGUAGUGAAAUGCCGGGGCCCAACCCCGGAACUGCGUUGGAAACUGUGCAGCUGGAGUGCAGGAGAGGUGAGCGGAAUUCCUAGUGUAGCGGUGAAAUGCGUAGAUAUUAGGAGGAACACCAGUGGCGAAGGCGGCUUACUGGACUGUAACUGACGUUGAGGCUCGAAAGCGUGGGGAGCAAACAGGAUUAGAUACCCUAGUAGUC
This 457-nucleotide ribosomal RNA is filed under the name uncultured bacterium. RNAcentral's name for it is "partial 16S ribosomal RNA". It matches the Rfam family "Bacterial small subunit ribosomal RNA", at positions 338 to 795 of the family's 1533-position model. The record is from RNAcentral.